RNAcentral lists this ribosomal RNA (253 nucleotides) under uncultured bacterium. RNAcentral describes it as "partial 16S ribosomal RNA". It matches the Rfam family "Bacterial small subunit ribosomal RNA", at positions 524 to 776 of the family's 1533-position model. The record is from RNAcentral.
UACGUAGGUGACCAGCGUUGUCCGGAUUUACUGGGCGUAAAGAGCGCGCAGGCGGUCGUUCAAGUCGAGUGUGAAAGCCCCCGGCUCAACUGGGGAGGGUCAUUCGAUACUGAUCGACUCGAAGGCAGGAGAGGGAAGUGGAAUUCCCGGUGUAGUGGUGAAAUGCGUAGAUAUCGGGAGGAACACCAAAGGCGAAGGCAGCAUCCUGGAUGGUUACUGACGCUCAUGUGCGAAAGCCAGGGGAGCGAACGGG